Molecule: ribosomal RNA, 253 nt
Filed under: uncultured bacterium
Lineage: Bacteria
Description: partial 16S ribosomal RNA
Rfam family: Bacterial small subunit ribosomal RNA
Source: RNAcentral
UACGUAGGGUGCAAGCGUUGUCCGGAAUUAUUGGGCGUAAAGAGCUCGUAGGCGGCUUGUCACGUCGGCUGUGAAAACCCGGGGCUCAACCCCGGGCCUGCAGUCGAUACGGGCAAGCUAGAGUUCGGCAGGGGAGACUGGAAUUCCUGGUGUAGCGGUGAAAUGCGCAGAUAUCAGGAGGAACACCGAUGGCGAAGGCAGAUCUCUGGGCCGUAACUGACGCUGAGGAGCGAAAGCAUGGGGAGCGAACAGG